UGGCGGACGGGUGAGUAACGCGUGGGUAACCUGCCUUAUACAGGGGGAUAACAGUCAGAAAUGGCUGCUAAUACCGCAUAAGCGCACAGAGCUGCAUGGCUCAGUGUGAAAAACUCCGGUGGUAUAAGAUGGACCCGCGUUGGAUUAGCUGGUUGGUGGGGUAACGGCCCACCAAGGCGGCGAUCCAUAGCCGGCCUGAGAGGGUGAACGGCCACAUUGGGACUGAGACACGGCCCAGACUCCUACGGGAGGCAGCAGUGGGGAAUAUUGCACAAUGGGGGAAACCCUGAUGCAGCGACGCCGCGUGAAGGAAGAAGUAUCUCGGUAUGUAAACUUCUAUCAGCAGGGAAGAUAGUGACGGUACCUGACUAAGAAGCCCCGGCUAACUACGUGCCAGCAGCCGCGGUAAUACGUAGGGGGCAAGCGUUAUCCGGAUUUACUGGGUGUAAAGGGAGCGUAGACGGUGUGGCAAGUCUGAUGUGAAAGGCAUGGGCUCAACCUGUGGACUGCAUUGGAAACUGUCAUACUUGAGUGCCGGAGGGGUAAGCGGAAUUCCUAGUGUAGCGGUGAAAUGCGUAAGAUAUUAGGAGGAACACCAGUGGCGAAGGCGGCUUACUGGACGGUUAACUGACUUUGAGGCUCGAAAGC
This 648-nucleotide ribosomal RNA is filed under the name uncultured bacterium. RNAcentral describes it as "bacterial SSU rRNA". It matches the Rfam family "Bacterial small subunit ribosomal RNA", at positions 96 to 760 of the family's 1533-position model. The record is from RNAcentral.